UUUACAUCAAAUUUCAAACAAUGUAAUAACAAAUACAAAUGUCAUGUUGAUAAGCCAAAAUAUGCCGAAGUACACCGAAAUUAUGUAGUAAAAAUUAGUCAAGUGGAAAAAAUUGGGACAUUUUAAAAUGGUAUCACGAAUUUAUCAAGCCAUUGCAAAUCUUUUAGUGGACGAAAAAUCUGUUGAAGAAAUAGGCGAUCCUUUGGAUUUUGAAUCUGGACCUUUUUUGGAUUGUGGAAUAUCUUGGGUGUACACAUUCAAGAAGUUUAUUAUUCCAAGAGAACACAGGCCAAGUAGUCAUGGGUAUACUUGCCCUCCAAAAUGUAAGCGGAGAUCAAUCUGUAAAACUUGAGAAAUACAUUUAAAAUAAAAUAGAAUAAAUCUUCAUGAAUAAA
Molecule: long non-coding RNA, 395 nt
Organism: Leptinotarsa decemlineata (Colorado potato beetle)
Lineage: Eukaryota; Metazoa; Arthropoda; Insecta; Coleoptera; Chrysomelidae
Source: RefSeq, a predicted model, not a curated record